RNAcentral lists this RNase P RNA (375 nucleotides) under Deltaproteobacteria bacterium. RNAcentral describes it as "RNase P RNA component class A". It matches the Rfam family "Bacterial RNase P class A". From Rfam's summary of the family: Ribonuclease P (RNase P) is a ubiquitous endoribonuclease, found in archaea, bacteria and eukarya as well as chloroplasts and mitochondria. Its best characterised activity is the generation of mature 5'-ends of tRNAs by cleaving the 5'-leader elements of precursor-tRNAs. The record is from RNAcentral. Lineage: Bacteria; Pseudomonadati; Myxococcota; Myxococcia.
UGAGUUAACCAGACAAUCGCUGGCCCGCAAAGGGCUGGAGGAAAGUCCGAACACCACAGGGCAGGGUGCUCCAUAACGUGGAGUCGCGGUGACGCGAAGGCAAGUGCAACAGAGAGCAGACCGCCCCGCUGCCAAGGCGGGGUAAGGGUGAAACGGUGCGGUAAGAGCGCACCAGUUCUCCGGGCGACCGGGGAAGCUAUGUAAACCCCACCCGGUGCAAGACCAAAUAGAGAAGCGAUUGAGGGCGGCCCGCCCGAGCUUCCGGGUCGGUCGCAAGAGGUGCCGGGCAGCCGGUAUCCAUAAGAUGAAUGAUUGUCGCCUGUGGAGGGGUAACCCGACACAGGAACAGAAUUCGGCUUACGGGUGACUCCAACC